This 722-nucleotide long non-coding RNA is filed under the name Homo sapiens (human). Its description in RNAcentral is "non-protein coding lnc-ERI1-5:1". Lineage: Eukaryota; Metazoa; Chordata; Mammalia; Primates; Hominidae. The record is from RNAcentral.
GAAGGCAAGGAGGAGCAAGUCACAUCUUACGUGGAUGUCCAGAGAGCUUGUGCAGAUACACAAAAAAGGCCAGUCAUGAAUCACGCCAAAUUGGAAGCAACCAAGAUGUCCUUCAGCGUGUGAAUGGAUAAGCAAACUAUGGUGCAUUCAGGUUAGGCGAUGCUUUCCUUCACUGUCCAGUUUGCAGAGCCGUCUUGGAGCUGGCGCGGGUCCUCCCUCUGUCGUCCUGGCUCUUGGAAAGGAACCAGGCGGGCUGAGGAACUGGCGCGCCCUCGUCCGCCCACAAGUCCUUGGAAAGCGCAGGCCUCGUGCGCUCUCCAGCGCCCUUCCAGGGCGCAAGGGCAGGACAGGUACAUCCCGCGUGCUGCGGUGGCGAUCAGCGCGGACACGGAGCCUGGCUCCACCCGUCCGCCCAGCCUUGGGGUUCUGCCAGAGCGCCGGGCGCAGAGCAAGCGGGUCUGAGCUCCAGCACCUUUGGCAGCUCCCGGCCCCGGGGUGCGAACGGCGGCCGUGGCUCACCGCUUCAGGAGCAGGCGACCAGGACACUAGGAAGAGAAGCCCGGACCAGGGCUAGUUUGUUUCCCCAACUCCUCUGGCCAGCUCAGGUUCUUAAACCCGCCGUGCAACAGACGCAGGUACCGGCUCAGAAAGCUCAGUCAGUGGUGCAGGAAGCCUGGGUCGCGGUGCAUCGUGUUUAAAAAUAAACACACACUUCCCUUGGG